CCAUAAACGACUUUCAAACCCUCUUUCUCUCACCGUCACCAAACUGGCUUUCCCAUUUUCUCUCGCCGUCACCUCCGUCCAAGCUCUUCAACCCAACUAUCCAAGCACUGUUUUCACUCGCCGUCACCUCCGUCCAAGCUCUUCAACCCAACUAUCCAAGCACUGUUUUCACUCGCCGUCACCAAACUCAUCGGCUAUGUCGCGUUUAUGCAUUCUGUUUACCGUCCCGUUUGACAAGUAGAAGAAGGAUCUCUCUAUCUCUUUCCUCUUUCCCUCGCAACAGUCACUCAUCGGCCAUGUCUCAGGAAGAUAUGCUCGUCCAGCUCCACAUGUUGCGCCACGCCCCGCCCCCGCUAACACUCAGAGUGGUGGUGGAUCUAUGCCUGGUGGUAUUGGGUCAACCAUAGCUCAAGGUAUGUAAAACAAAAACAAAGUUGUUUUUGCCAUAUAGACUCUGAUGGUGUUAAGUGGGUUGAUGGGAAUGUAUGAAGAAAAGUGGUUGGGUGAUACUCACACACAUUACUCAGCUGCAUACUCAAAUGAGCUCUAUCCUAUGUCACUAUAUUUCACUUCCUCACCAUAUUCCUUAUCUUGCUCUCUACUAUAUCCGCGUUGGUCACGACUGUCACGACGCACUCCGCAAGAAUAUUCUCUUCUUUCAAGUACAACGCUCUCCGAUGGUGUUGUGACCCCGGAAGGCAGACGGUGACACUUCCGGAGAUGGCUUGACCGACAGUUCCGACAUGGUGUUAUUCAGGCCGUUUAUCUUUAUUUUUCAGGUUUCACAAUUCUUCAACUACGAGCUUCAUCCACGGAGAAACACUUGAAAAAGGAAAUGCACUCGCAUCGAGAUUCACUUGCUUAUUGCUCAUGGCUUGCAGUCUAUCCUGGAUGUGCCAUUUUAUGGAAGAAUUGCUACGCUUGAACUUUUUCGCCCUCAUGGUGAAGCACAAGAUUUUUUGUUUAUUGCUACUGAAAGAUACAAAUUUUGUGUUCUUCAAUGGGAUACCAAGACUUCUGAGCUUGUUACACGCAAAUGUGAUUUUGGUGUUGUCUACCGAAGCUACAAAUGCUCUUAUUGUGGACUGCAUGUUGCUAUUUCAAGGGCGGGAAAAGACUUAUAAAUGGUUGGAUUUUGUAUGGUUGCACUUGUUUUGUUAUUGUUGUAGUAAUCCAUCAUGUGUAAACUUCUUUAAAAUUUUGUACACUUGUGUGUAUCCUAGAUUGAUCUUGUAAAUCAUUUGUUAA
This is an RNA transcript of Vicia villosa (hairy vetch), 1248 nucleotides long. RefSeq lists it as uncharacterized. Lineage: Eukaryota; Viridiplantae; Streptophyta; Magnoliopsida; Fabales; Fabaceae. The transcript has 9 exons. The record is from RefSeq and is a predicted model, not a curated record.